GGAAUAUUGGACAAUGGGCGCAAGCCUGAUCCAGCCAUGCCGCGUGCAGGAUGACGGUCCUAUGGAUUGUAAACUGCUUUUGUACAGGAAGAAACACUGGUUCGUGAACCAGCUUGACGGUACUGUAAGAAUAAGGAUCGGCUAACUCCGUGCCAGCAGCCGCGGUAAUACGGAGGAUCCAAGCGUUAUCCGGAAUCAUUGGGUUUAAAGGGUCCGUAGGCGGUCUUGUAAGUCAGUGGUGAAAGCCCAUCGCUCAACGGUGGAACGGCCAUUGAUACUGCAGGACUUGAAUUAUUAGGAAGUAACUAGAAUAUGUAGUGUAGCGGUGAAAUGCUUAGAGAUUACAUGGAAUACCAAUUGCGAAGGCAGGUUACUACUAAUUGAUUGACGCUGAUGGACGAAAGCGUGGGUAGCGAACAGGAUUAGAUACCCUGG
RNAcentral lists this ribosomal RNA (435 nucleotides) under uncultured Flavobacterium sp. Its description in RNAcentral is "bacterial SSU rRNA". It matches the Rfam family "Bacterial small subunit ribosomal RNA", at positions 358 to 790 of the family's 1533-position model. Lineage: Bacteria; Pseudomonadati; Bacteroidota; Flavobacteriia; Flavobacteriales; Flavobacteriaceae. The record is from RNAcentral.